AAAUUGAAGAGUUUGAUCAUGGCUCAGAUUGAACGCUGGCGGCAGGCCUAACACAAUGCAAGUCGGGCGGUAGCACAGAAGAGCUUGCUCUUUGGGUGACGAGCGGCGGACGGGUGAGUAAUGUCUGGGAAACUGCCUGAUGGAGGGGGAUAACUACUGGAAACGGUAGCUAAUACCGCAUAACCUCGCAAGAGCAAAGAGGGGGACCUUCGGGCCUCUCGCCAUCAGAUGUGCCCAGAUGGGAUUAGCUAGUAGGUGAGGUAAUGGCUCACCUAGGCGACGAUCCCUAGCUGGUCUGAGAGGAUGACCAGCCACACUGGAACUGAGACACGGUCCAGACUCCUACGGGAGGCAGCAGUGGGGAAUAUUGCACAAUGGGCGCAAGCCUGAUGCAGCCAUGCCGCGUGUGUGAAGAAGGCCUUCGGGUUGUAAAGCACUUUCAGCGGGGAGGAAGGCGGUAAGGUUAAUAACCUUAUCGAUUGACGUUACCCGCAGAAGAAGCACCGGCUAACUCCGUGCCAGCAGCCGCGGUAAUACGGAGGGUGCAAGCGUUAAUCGGAAUGACUGGGCGUAAAGCGCACGCAGGCGGUCUGUUAAGUUGGAUGUGAAAUCCCCGGGCUUAACCUGGGAACUGCAUUCAAAACUGACAGGCUAGAGUCUUGUAGAGGGGGGUAGAAUUCCAGGUGUAGCGGUGAAAUGCGUAGAGAUCUGGAGGAAUACCGGUGGCGAAGGCGGCCCCCUGGACAAAGACUGACGCUCAGGUGCGAAAGCGUGGGGAGCAAACAGGAUUAGAUACCCUGGUAGUCCACGCUGUAAACGAUGUCGAUUUGGAGGUUGUGCCCUUGAGGCGUGGCUUCCGGAGCUAACGCGUUAAAUCGACCGCCUGGGGAGUACGGCCGCAAGGUUAAAACUCAAAUGAAUUGACGGGGGCCCGCACAAGCGGUGGAGCAUGUGGUUUAAUUCGAUGCAACGCGAAGAACCUUACCUACUCUUGACAUCCAGAGAACUUAGCAGAGAUGCUUUGGUGCCUUCGGGAACUCUGAGACAGGUGCUGCAUGGCUGUCGUCAGCUCGUGUUGUGAAAUGUUGGGUUAAGUCCCGCAACGAGCGCAACCCUUAUCCUUUGUUGCCAGCGAUUCGGUCGGGAACUCAAAGGAGACUGCCGGUGAUAAACCGGAGGAAGGUGGGGAUGACGUCAAGUCAUCAUGGCCCUUACGAGUAGGGCUACACACGUGCUACAAUGGCGUAUACAAAGAGAAGCGACCUCGCGAGAGCAAGCGGACCUCAUAAAGUACGUCGUAGUCCGGAUUGGAGUCUGCAACUCGACUCCAUGAAGUCGGAAUCGCUAGUAAUCGUAGAUCAGAAUGCUACGGUGAAUACGUUCCCGGGCCUUGUACACACCGCCCGUCACACCAUGGGAGUGGGUUGCAAAAGAAGUAGGUAGCUUAACCUUCGGGAGGGCGCUUACCACUUUGUGAUUCAUGACUGGGGUGAAGUCGUAACAAGGUAACCGUAGGGGAACCUGCGGUUGGAUCACCUCCUUA
RNAcentral lists this ribosomal RNA (1543 nucleotides) under Pectobacterium carotovorum subsp. carotovorum PCC21. RNAcentral's name for it is "bacterial SSU rRNA". It matches the Rfam family "Bacterial small subunit ribosomal RNA". Lineage: Bacteria; Pseudomonadati; Pseudomonadota; Gammaproteobacteria; Enterobacterales; Pectobacteriaceae. The record is from RNAcentral.